Molecule: long non-coding RNA, 3201 nt
Organism: Galleria mellonella (greater wax moth)
Lineage: Eukaryota; Metazoa; Arthropoda; Insecta; Lepidoptera; Pyralidae
Exons: 2
Source: RefSeq, a predicted model, not a curated record
UCAACCGUUUAUUGACCACCGCUGACCAUAGUUCGUCCCCUACUAGUUUUUGCCUGUCGUUGCCACGCUUGGCAGGUGGGUUGGCAACCGCAGUUAGGCUUUGUGAUAUUUAUGGAAUUAAUUUUUUUUUUUUUAUGAAACGCAAUCUCAGUGUAUUUAUUUUUUUAUUCACAAUAUUUCUAUCUUAAUAUGUUCUAUAGCAUAAGUAUAUUCUUAGAGUCGGUAAUGGUUUCACCUUAUAUUUAACUUUGCCUAGUUUAUACUAGAUGGCGCUGAAUUAUAGUUUAUACUUUUUAUUAUAGGUACGCAGUUUAUAUUUAUGAAACUUGUCCAAAAUACCAUUAGACUAAGUCUCCGAUGAAAGCAUAAAUUAUUAGGUACCUAUGUCGCCCGAUGACGAAAAAAAGCGCAUGGAGGGGUACGUAGGUGGCGCUGCGGUCGGCGGCGGUAAACGGCGCCCUGCGACAGCAGCGUGACCCGUGCCACCUGCACCCCGUGACACAUAGAUUAUGAGAUCUGAGGGCUGAUGUUUUUUUUAACCAACUACAAAAAAGGAGAUUGUUCUGAAUUCAAAUUGAAAAGCAAAAUCGACUUGGUUUUAUUACAAGAUUAUAAGUAGCAGAUAGACAAUUCUCGGCGUAUAUUUUUGUCUGUUAUAUAUCAUUGAAUAGCAUGCUACAAUACACGUUGUGGGAUAAAUCCGCCAUUAUUCUCGUUAUGUGAAGGAUAAUAGGUGAGGAUGAAGUAGGUCAGUUGGCCCACCGUCAUGAAUUAAAUUCGACAAGAAUUAAACAUGAUGGUUUCCAGGGGAACCGCGUUGAGGUCGACCUGAGAUGGUAUAUUGCUAGUAAUGGGGCUAUUAGACCCCACUAACAAUCCCUUUCCCCCCUUUAUAAUCUAUAUAGUUCUGAACACAGAUGUUUAAGCUGAUCCAAAUGUAGAAAUGAAUUCGUACCUACUUUUACUGUAAUUUCCAGCGCUGAGUUUGUUACAAUCAUGGUUGUGCAAUAAAGUUGUUUUUUUUUAUACCACUGAGGUGACAAACAAGCAUACGGCCCACCUGAUGGUAAGCGGUUACCGUAGCCUAUGAACGCCUGCGAUACCAGAGGUAUUACGCGCUCGUUGCCAACCCUGAAGAAACCUUAUUAUUAUUAUUAUUUUAUAAAAAUGCUAUGAUUUUUACCAACUAUUGCAAGUAAAACAGUAUAUGUACUGAGUUAUUUAAAACGUUUAGCGUUGAAAUAAAACAAGUAUUCGAGCGACAAUGUCAGUAGUACUAUAGUCUGGUCUGAAUUCGACAUUGUCGUGUUUGGCCCCUGGCCAAGGACGCAGCCUAGAAGUGUACGUAUCUUAUAUAUAUGUAUGUAUGUAUGUAUGUAUAUGUAACAGACUUUAGACUAAAGCAGUGUUUCUCAACCUUUUUUUUUUUUUGUUGCUGCGGCACAUAUUUAACGAUUUCAAAAUUUGGCGGCACACAAAGAAAAAGAUAAAAAAUAUUUACUCACUACAACACACUGCAUAAAUAGUUUAUGACAAAAAUUUUAAAUAUUUGCAAAAUUUGGCGGCACACUUUUAAAAUUUGGCGGCACACUUUUAAAAUUUGGCGGCACACUUUUAAAAUUUGGCGGCACACUUUUAAAAUUUGGCGCCACACUUUUAAAAUUUGGCGGCACACUUUUAAAAUUUGGCGGCACACUUUUAAGAUUUGGCGGCACACUUUUAAAAAUUGGCGGCACACUUUUAAAAUUAGGCGGCACACUUUUAAAAUUAGGCGGCACACUUUUAAAAUUAGGCGGCACACUUUUAAAAUUUGGCGGCACACAAAAGUGCCGCGGCACAGUGCUUGAGAAUCACUGGACUAAAGCAAGUACGCGUCAGAUGUAUGUAAAAUAAUGUUUCAUAAUUGAUUUAUGAAUGACAUAGCUGUAUCCUGCGGUUUUGCUCGUGUAAAUUUAGAUUGGUAGAGAAUGCUGCUAGAAUUAAGUCUGCCUUUUAUACCAUAUUCAUUACUAGCGAAACAUGGAUAUUAAACCAUGUAAUUUUAGACAUAGUACGUUUAAAUAAAUACACAUAAUGUUAACAGAGAUUUAAAAGAGUAACUGUUGAGUUUCUUGCGGGCUCUCCUCAACAGAUAACGACCUUCCGAAUCCUGCAGUAAAUUAAAAAUAAAAAUUGACGAUUUAGAAAUCUUUUAAACAGGUAUAUUUGAAUAAACGUGAAUUGGAUGGACUGUAUGAAAUAAUAUGGCCAGAAUGAGUGUGAAUGUGGAAAUAACUGCGAAUAGCAUGUACAAAAGUCGAUUGCGUGGGUACCUCUGUCCCAUUCGUGUUUCUACCGUGAAGCAGCUGUGUUUGCAUGGCUGUGUUUCGGUUUGAAUUGUGGGAUAUGGCGUGAAUUUACUGGGUAUAGAGGAAUAACACCUUAGUCCACAGGAAUGGCAACGCAUGGGGGGUAUCAUGGGCGAAACAGUACACUCUGUUAUGUCCACGGUACUGCUCAUGUCUAUAGGCGACGGUUACCACUUUCCAUCAGGUGGGCCGUCAGCUUGAUAGGUAUUCUUAGUUUCAUAAAAAAAAAAAAUUAUAAAUGGUAUUACCUGUUUUUAUAUUGCAACAUCUGUGCUUCCAUCAAUUAUUUUUCGCUAUACAUUUCAACAUGGACUUUGAGGUCGUGUUUCAAUAAACGAUCUCAGAGUCUACGAAAACAAAGUAACGACCAGCGAUAAACGAAACUCCAUUCUGUCGGUUUGCUCUAAUCACUAUGACUGAUUUCCUCUUAUUAAUUGUUUAACCAGUUGGUUAUGUAUUCAAUAUUUUUUUCUUUUUGAGUAUUUAAUUGAAUUAGUGCUAAUUGGUGGUUUGUAUUCACACAUUUAAACUUAAAAAUGUAAAGUAAUAAUAAAAUUAUUUAAAAGAGCAACACGCAAGUUUCUUGCUCGUUCUUCUUGUGAUGAGACAGCUUUCCGAACGAGCGGUAGAUUAAAAAAAAUGUAAUGACUAUUCAAAAGUGCUUCAAUGUAAGUUUAUUUGAAUAAAUGAUUUUCUAUUCUAUUCUAUUCUAUUCUAUUCUAUUCCAUUACACAAUAUUUUAAAGUCAAUAUUUUCCUCAUUUCUUAUUAUCUACUCCAGUCAACUUGAUAUAAUAUAACCGAACUAAAUGUACGCCGAGGAUGAAAACUUUAAAAAAAAAAAAAAAAAGAAA